Molecule: long non-coding RNA, 291 nt
Organism: Amblyraja radiata (thorny skate)
Lineage: Eukaryota; Metazoa; Chordata; Chondrichthyes; Rajiformes; Rajidae
Exons: 3
Source: RefSeq, a predicted model, not a curated record
CAGCAUCAUUGAAGCCUUUCCCACACGGGAUGGAGUGAAGGUCUUAGUGGAUUCUGCUGAAGCCCCUCUGGGUGAACAACCACAGGUGUUGAGAGAUAUCGUGACCAUUCAAAGGAACGGAAUGGGAAUCACUCUGCAAGCCCCGUCCAUCAAUAUUGAAAGGCUGUACUUCAAUGGAGACCAAGUUCAGAUUGUCGUGGACCAGAUGAUGAGCAAGACGUGUGGAAUCUGUGGCCUUAACAACGAUGAGAAGAAAAUGAUGAUGCCCAGCCGGGAGGUCGCCGAGGACCA